This is an RNA transcript of Hylaeus anthracinus, 3893 nucleotides long. It is a transcript of the gene named ER membrane protein complex subunit 1, with no coding region annotated. The record is from RefSeq and is a predicted model, not a curated record. NCBI's taxonomy places the organism in Eukaryota, Metazoa, Arthropoda, Insecta, Hymenoptera, Colletidae. The transcript is spliced from 16 exons.
UUUGCUAGUCAGGUGGGAAUGAAAUUUGUGUGAGCGGAUGGCAGCGAAUGGGUUGAUACGUUCAUAGGUAUCGUAAUGGCUCCGUUCAUGUGGAGUUCUAGAGGGAAUAUCAACCGGUUUUUAACUGAUGUUCAAAUAUUACAAUACCUUAUCGUCUUAGUCGGAUUAUUUAAUUUGUCUUUGUGUCUUUAUGAGGAUCAAAUUGGAAAAUUUGACUGGAAACAGAAUUAUGUUGGUAAAAUUAAAUUUGCCAGUUUCGAUACGGUCUCGACCGCGAAAAAGAUUGUUGUUGCCACCGAGGAAAAUGUUAUUGCUGCGUUAAAUCUUAAGUCAGGACAAAUAUUAUGGAGGCGUGUAUUAGAAAAAGGAUAUGCAGGCCAUAUUCAUGCACUGGGUGGAGUCUCAGAUGGAGAUCUUGUUUCUGUAAGCGGAGGUGUACCGGCCAUUGUCCGUGCAUGGGAUUUAGCAACUGGACAUAUUCUUCACGAAUGGCCAAUAGCUGAGCAAAAUCCUGAUAGAAUCAAGGAUAUUAAGUGGCACAUAAAAGAUGGUACGCUACAUCAUAUUUUACCAAUCUAUAAUAGUGGUGUUGAGGUGACAUCUUAUGAAAGUAAAACAGGAGACAAAUUGAAAAGCAGAAGAGUCAGUGCACCAUUUAUUACUCAAGACACAGAAUGUGUUUUAGCAGCACCAUAUCUAGCAUGUUUACAUGUAGAUGGUUCGUUCGUGUUACUGUUCUUAGUAUACUUAUUUGAUACAAACGCUCGACCACAAUCGGUUUCGAUAAAUACAAUAUUUGGCGCUGGUACACAAGGCCCAUAUCACUUGGAAUCAGUACUCGGCGAGGAACCUGCUAUUUCAAUUAGUGCGGAUGGUAAUCAGAGAAAACGAAUUCUUCUUCUCAGAGAUGUUCCUGUUCCUCUUCAGAGAGAUAUAGCUGGUAAUGCUAUGCUUUAUAUUGUUUCAAUUGAUAAUGAAAAAGUGCUCCUAGAAGCGACAUAUCAAUCUGGAGUAACGAAAAUCGUAGCUACAGAACUUUUAACAUCAAACCCUCUGCCAAAUUUAUCAAUCAGCGUAACGCAUCCAUCGCUAAUGUCUCCGACAAUUAUGGCUUCGGUUUGUCCGCGGCAAGCGAAAGGUGUAACAUGUCGUCAUUUGCUAUCUUCGCAAGACCACAGUGUCGCGUUGUUACAACAUAAUAAAUUAAUAUGGGUCAGGGAAGAAGCACUUGCCAGUAUCGUAGCUGUGGAGAUUAUAGAAUUACCUAUGUCGGAUAGAGAGCAAGCAAUUGAAACAGAAUUCGAUCAGAAAGAAAGUAUUGAUGUAGACAGUUCAUGGGAUGUGCUGAGCAUGAUCUUCAGAAGGGUCAGUUCUCAAUUUAAACAAGCAAAGGCAUUUGCGCAAUCUGUGUUAAGCCUUGCACCUGAACAGUCCAGUCAACGUACAGAUUUAGUGCGAGAUAAAUUUGGAUUACAUAAAAUGAUCGUUCUUGUUACAUCUGCAGGAAAAUUAUUUGGUAUCGAAACUAGGAAAGGUGAAAUUAUUUGGCAACUUAGAGUGCCUAAUAUUCAAGGAUUCAUUAAAACUUCUAACUCAAUAAUCUUGUAUGUGCAACGUGGUAGCCGACAUUUUCCGUAUCCACCACAAUGUACACUACUAGCAGAAGAUAAAAAAACGGGAGGAGUUAUAUAUACAUUUAACCCAAUUACGGGUCAACCAUUGGAUGGUUUAGUAAAGUUAGGGUACAAAAUAAAGCAAUCCAUGUUGCUUCAUGUUGCAACAGAUGAUUUCUUACGCGGUAUUCUUAUUCUCGAUACUCGGGAUAAGGUACACGUAUACCCCGAAGGUGCAACUGCAAUUGCUGCAUCGCUUGGUAAAAAUACGUACAUAUUUACCGCUGAUCAAACAACCGGUGUAUUGUCCGGAUUUUCUCUUUCAUAUAGCACAACCCAAGAACUUAUCGCUCAUAAAGUGUGGGAACUACUGCUUUCAUCGAAAAACCAAAGAAUAACGCACGUUGUAUCGAAAAACCCACUAGAACGUGUUCAUUCUCAGGGUAGAGUUCUAAGCGAUAGAUCAGUUCUAUACAAAUAUAUUAAUCCUAAUUUGGUCGCUAUAGUAACAGAGGGUGUUGGAUACACUCAUAAAAAUACGCUUAACCUGUAUUUGUUAGAUGUAGUAUCUGGGGCAAUGAUAUUCUCCAUUAUACAUAAAAGAGUACGUGGUCCAGUGCACAUUGUGCAUUCAGAAAAUUGGAUAGUAUACAGUUAUUUUAAUGAAAAGAGUCGUAGGACUGAAAUUGCUAGUUUAGAACUUUAUGAAGGAAAAAUACAGAGUAAUACCACAGUGUUCUCGUCGUUAUCUACGACUAAGUUGCCAAUUGUAGAGAGGCAAGCCUUUAUUUUUCCGGCGGCAAUUGAAUCAAUGCGAGAGACUAUUACAGAAAAGGGUAUUACGAGCAAACAUAUUAUAGUGGCCCUAGCCAAUGGCGGAGUAUUGGAAUUACCAUGGAUGUUGGUAGAUCCACGACGGCCUAUUAACCCAGAAAUACGUGAAGAAGGUGUAAUACCAUAUAUGCCAGAGAUACCUAUUCAAAUGGACGCAAUAAUUAAUUAUAAUCAAAGUGUCUUUAGGGUGUCAAAUAUUCAUACUAGUCCUAGUGGCCUUGAAAGUACUUGCUUAGUUUUUGUACAUGGUCUUGAUUUGUUCUAUACGCGCGUGGCACCAUCUAAAACAUUUGAUGUUUUGAAAGAAGAUUUCGAUUAUUGUCUAAUUAUGAUAGUAUUGGCAGCGCUUGUGAUUGCAUCGUACGUCACAAAAAAGUUAGCAUCCCAGAAAGCUCAGAAGCAAGCCUGGAAAUAAUGUUUCUUUUCUUUAGAGAAUCAUUGCGUAACAUUCUUAAGUAUCUGUACACUAAAGAACGCACACACUAGGUAACAUAUUUCGUAAUCUUUCACGGCAAAGUGUGCUAGUCAUUAUAUGACAAGAGUGGACCAUAAUCGCUACAUAUUAAAUUAUUAAAGUAACUGACAACAUGCUCAAAAUACGAAGACCUUUCCAUUUAAACUACGUUCAUAGUUAUAAAUUUCUUUUACAUAUAAUCAAAUGGAAUGCAAAUACAAAAAUAAAGAACACACAUAGGGAAAUGUUGUUAAAGGAAGAAAAAUGAAGAAUAUAAAAAUCUCAUUUAUUACUUAUAAACAUAUUAAUUUAUUGCCACCUAUAAAACUAGUGACAUACAAUUGAAAAAAACUUUAAAGCAAAUUCCUAUCGAGCAUAUCUUAUAUUUUUCAGAGACACUGUUCAUAACUGCAUUUACUGAAGAAACAGCUAGAAAGUAUUACAAAAUACAGAAACUGUACGUCAUAAAUUUCGAAUUCGCCGCAUUUAUAAGCAUUUUUCUUUUGCUUUUUCAAAUGGACGAUACGGUUUCACCUGUUAAUAAAAUAUUGUAUAAACGCUGGCAUUUUAAUUCUAUUUAAAAACUUGAAAAAGGCAUGAACAACUAGUUUUAAAAUAUUACUUAUAUUUAUAAUUGUGAUACAAGCAGAACGAGGAAAUUCAAUUACUAUAGCAUAUCAGUCUGUGAAAACUGUAUGAAGCAAAAUGUGUCACAGUACAAACGAAUGAUUUUAUUUAUUAUAUACUUAUAAUUAAAUAAAUAUUCAAUGAGCUAUGUCAUUUGUGAAUAGAACAAAUAGAAAAAACACUUCUGUUGUAUAGGAUAAUUAUUUGCUUUGUAGAUAAAUGUAAAAGUUUCAAAUAGACAUAAGUUAUUGUACAAAUAAGAAUGUAAACAGUAAUAUCACAGAAAUGUAAAAUGUGGGCUACAUUUAUGGAAUGAAAACAAAUAUUAAAUACAAGUUGUAUACAAAUAAAAAUCUAAAAGAUUA